GAUGAAGAACGCAGCGAAAUGCGAUACGUAAUGUGAAUUGCAGAAUUCAGUGAAUCAUCGAAUCUUUGAACGCAUAUUGCGCUCUUUGGUAUUCCGAAGAGCAUGCUUGUUUGAGUAUCAGUAAACACCUCAAAGCUUUUGGAUUUUUUAAUCGAAAAGCUUUGGACUUGAGCAAUCCCAACACCAAUCUUUUUGAGAUCGGUGGCGGGUUGCUCGAAAUGCAGGUGCAGCUGGACAUUCUCCUGAGCUAAAAGCAUAUUCAUUUAGUCCCGUCAAACGGAUUAUUACUGUUGCUGCAGCUAACAUAAAGGGAGUUUGACCGUAUUGGCUGACUGAUGCAGGAUUUCACAAGGGUCGGCAACGAUUCUUGUUAAACUCGAUCUCAAAUCAAGUAAGACUACCCGCUGAACUUAAGCAUAUCAAUAAGCGGAGGA
This 434-nucleotide unclassified non-coding RNA is filed under the name soil metagenome. Its description in RNAcentral is "partial contains 5.8S ribosomal RNA, internal transcribed spacer 2, and large subunit ribosomal RNA". The stretch from base 1 to 120 matches the Rfam family "5.8S ribosomal RNA", at positions 35 to 154 of the family's 154-position model. The record is from RNAcentral.